AUGAAGGGAAUAGGUCGGGUGCCAUUUUGUGGAUUCAGCCUGUGUGUUGCAGCAGCUCUCUCGUCGUUUCCUGACUUCAACCACUCUAUUCCUGUAGUUCUGUUCUGUCUCCUGUCGCCAUUCAUUCAGAAAAUCCUUCCCAUGCUUUUUGGUGUUGCAUCCUUCCCAUGCUUUUUGGUGUUGCAUCCUUCCCAUGCUUUUUGGUGCUGCAUCCUUCCCAUGCUUUUUGGUGUUGUAUCCUUCCCAUGCUUUUUGGUGUUGCAUCCUUCCCAUGCUUUUUGGUGUUGCAUCCUUCCCAUGCUUUUUGGUGCUGCAUCCUUCCCAUGCUUUUUGGUGUUGCAUCCUUCCCAUGCUUUUUGGUGUUGCAUCCUUCCCAUGCUUUUUGGUGUUGCAUCCUUCCCAUGCUUUUUGGUGCUGCAUCCUUCCCAUGCUUUUUGGUGCUGCAUCCUUCCCAUGCUUGUUGGUGUUGUAUCCUUCCCAUGCUUGUUGGUGUUGUAUCCUUCCCAUGCUUGUUGGUGUUGUAUCCUUCCCAUGCUUGUUGGUGUUGUAUCCUUCCCAUGCUUGUUGGAGUUGUAUCCUUCCCAUGCUUGUUGGUGUUGUAUCCUUCCCAUGCUUGUUGGUGUUGGUGUUGUAUCCUUCCCAUGCUUGUUGGAGUUGUAUCCUUUCCAUGCUUGUUGGAGUUGUAUCCUUCCCAUGCUUGUUGGAGUUGUAUCCUUCCCAUGCUUGUUGGUGUUGUAUUUGCUUGUUGUUUCCUUUGGGUCUAUAGAGGAGCUAUUUCUUCACAAUAUCAACCUUCUGAAGUGGCUGGUUAUAUGA
RNAcentral lists this long non-coding RNA (816 nucleotides) under Oncorhynchus mykiss (rainbow trout). RNAcentral's name for it is "lncRNA (ENSOMYG00000052236.1)". The record is from RNAcentral. Lineage: Eukaryota; Metazoa; Chordata; Actinopteri; Salmoniformes; Salmonidae.